UACGUAGGUGGCAAGCGUUGUCCGGAAUUAUUGGGCGGAAAGCGCGCGCAGGCGGUUAUGUAAGUCUGAUGUUAAAGCCCGGGGCUCAACCUCGGUUCGCAUUGGAAACUGUGUAACUUGAGUGCAGAAGAGGAAAGUGGUAUUCCACGUGUAGCGGUGAAAUGCGUAGAUAUGUGGAGGAACACCAGUGGCGAAGGCGACUUUCUGGUCUGUAAAUGGCGCUGAGGCGCGAAAGCGUGGGGAGCAAACAGG
Molecule: ribosomal RNA, 252 nt
Filed under: uncultured bacterium
Lineage: Bacteria
Description: partial 16S ribosomal RNA
Rfam family: Bacterial small subunit ribosomal RNA
Source: RNAcentral